RNAcentral lists this unclassified non-coding RNA (297 nucleotides) under Gigaspora margarita. RNAcentral describes it as "partial contains 5.8S ribosomal RNA, internal transcribed spacer 2, and large subunit ribosomal RNA". The stretch from base 1 to 71 matches the Rfam family "5.8S ribosomal RNA", at positions 84 to 154 of the family's 154-position model. The record is from RNAcentral. Lineage: Eukaryota; Fungi; Glomeromycota; Glomeromycetes; Diversisporales; Gigasporaceae.
GUGAAUCAUCAAAUUUUUGAACGCAAAUUGCACUUCUUGGUAUUCCGAGGAGUACACAUGCUUGAGGGUCAGUUAAAAAAAUUCGUACAUCUUUGAUGUUGCGGAUCUGAGUAUUCCGAUUUUAUUAAUCGGUUACUUAAAAUUAUUUAUACGUAAUGUGAAGCGUACAAAUUAUAUAGUCGCUAAUCAUUUAUAUUUAUUACAUUACUACUAUACGAUAGUAUUUAGUUGGUGUAUACAUUAUGAAAUUGAACUCAAGUCAUGUGAGAGUACCCGCUGAACUUACGCAUAUCAAUA